RNAcentral lists this transfer RNA (86 nucleotides) under Clostridia bacterium. RNAcentral describes it as "tRNA-Ser". It matches the Rfam family "tRNA". Rfam says of the family: Transfer RNA (tRNA) molecules are approximately 80 nucleotides in length. Their secondary structure includes four short double-helical elements and three loops (D, anti-codon, and T loops). Lineage: Bacteria; Bacillati; Bacillota; Clostridia. The record is from RNAcentral.
GGAGGUGUAUCGAAGUGGUCAUAACGGGACUGACUCGAAAUCAGUUGAGGGGCAACUCUCCGUGGGUUCGAAUCCCACCGCCUCCG